RNAcentral lists this long non-coding RNA (3300 nucleotides) under Capsicum annuum. Its description in RNAcentral is "long non-coding RNA (CANN_LNC013450)". The record is from RNAcentral. Lineage: Eukaryota; Viridiplantae; Streptophyta; Magnoliopsida; Solanales; Solanaceae.
CACGUAGAUUUUAGAAACAAUGUGUUUAUAUGUUUUUGUACAGUUUACAUGUAAAUAUUUCAUUAGUCAAAUGAAUAUUUACAUGCCUUUGUGCAGUUUAUUUUUUAAGCAUUAAUUUGAUAAAUGAAAUUUUUAGGCUUUAUCAAGUAAAAUUAAUUGAGAUGGAGUAGUGAUAAAAGAAGAAGAUGAAUUUGCGUGAUAUUAUCGUUUAAUGAAAAGAUUUUUGAAAUUCUCGUUGCUAUUUUAAGAAUUAUGGAUGAGAAGGUUUGGAUAGGGAAGAGGACAAUAUAGCAGUAUUUUUGGGUUGUUAAUCAUUUCAAUUAGGGAUUAAAGAGAUAUUUAAAAUUAAAAUUAUUUUAAAUAUAGUAAGAUGUGAUUUAUUUCAAUACGGAUUAAAAGGAAUAUGAUACCACAUAAAAAUGAAACGAGAGAGUAAAAAGUAAGGACAUGUAGCAUUUGAAAUUCCUAUACCUAACACAUCUUUAGACCUUUAAAAAACACAUAAAAAUUUUCUCAUAUAUAAGUAACGUUUGAUCAAAUUUUUGAAUGAGUUGACAACAUUAUAUGUGAAUUCUUCUUUCACUAACCUUUUCGUAUUAUGAUUGCAUAUAUUGCAAUGAAGGAAAAAGAAGAACUUUCGACUCCCAGAAUUAGAGCAAAAACAAAAUUUAUUUUAGGUAUGGCUUAUUUUUUUAUAUAUUGUAGGUAACUUUGCACUUUAGUUUCCUGAAAAAUGCAUUGCACGAGAACUAAGUGAUACUUUUGCAACGAUAUUGGUAUGUUAAUUUUUAAGCUACCAAAAUGAAUUGCAUCAAAUAUCAAUAAUUAUUUGAGAGUAAAUUACAACUUAAUUCAUUAAAGAUAAAUAAUUAGUUGAAUUUUUUUUUAUUAUAAUUACAAAUAACUUGAUAAUUUAUAAAUCUUAAACUCUCUCAUCACAUUUAAAUUUUAUAUUUAUUAUGAAAAAAUGAUAUCCAAACACGCUUGCUACACUUCACUCGAUUAACCAAUCACUGAAAAAGGAGAGAUUAAAAAGUUUUCAUUCGAAGGAAAAAUGAACUUUAUCAUCCAUAAUCAACACUUAUUUUAAAAGUUAAGCCACUAUCCUAUUCCUACAUAAUCCCAAAAAUUUGAUAAGAGAUUAAAUCAGGUAAUUGAAUUUGUUGGUUUGAAAUAUGAUAUAUGAUUCCACUGUUUCUCUUAUUUUUAUUAAUUUUAAGAUUUCAUUAUUUCUCUUAUUUCUGUUAAUUGCGCCUCCUUUAUCCUUCUUCUUUGCUUUUAUUUAGAAACAAAAUUUUACCAUGAAAGAUCCAACAAAAUUUUACCAUGAAAGAUCCAAAGCACAACCAUAGAAUAAAUCAAUGAUAGUGUGCUACGGCGUGAACAAUCUGCUUAUCCAUAGAAAUAAACAUAUUCAAAUCUUACAGUUUUGUUGAGAUAUUUUGAUUUCUUUGUUUAUAGCACACUAAAUUUUCUUGCUUUAUUUAUCUAUUUUUUUUUUUAAAUUUGAUUAUCCUUUCUAAUCUGAAUUUUAUUUGUACGAGUUACACAUAAUAUGGAUAUUUGAUUCUCUUCCGAAACUCACCCAUACCCGCUCAUGAAGUAUGACGUCUUUGAUUACACUAGAGCAAAAAAAAAAAAAGAAAAUAGCAUGGGGUCGCUGUCAUACCCUAUUUUUAUCUAAGCUCAAAACGAGCACGGUAUUAUGAUCUCUAAAAGAAUAAAUUAUGUACAGAGUCUCCACUUAAUUUUUAAGAAAAAAUAGAAAACCUAUUUAUUUAUUAACACGUAUAAUUUUAUUUAAUCUACGAACCAAUUUAGAUUCUAGAUAAGAAUUCAAAUUAUUCCGAAGAAAAGGUAUUAGGCACCCUUCAGAAUCCACAAAUGUGGUUUCCGACUAGACUUAAGGUUUAUUUAAAAAAAAAAAAUCUUUAUGUAUACAUGCAAAUAUAAAACUUGUAUUGUAAAUAAUUUAUAUACAAAAAAAUGUACAGAUUACCUAUAUUUUAGUAAAGCUAUGCAUAAAAGUAUACGAAAAUAUGUAAAUAAAAGUAUGUAUAUGAAAAGAAAAAAAUAAAGAUUGAAUGAAGGAAAAUUUAUUUUAAAGAAAAAGAUUAUAUAAUAUUUUUAGUGUAAAAAUUAUGAAUUAUUUGAUUAGAUAUCUCAAUUAAUUUGAUAUAAAUAUUAACGGCCUAAAUUUGCCUAAACGUGUGUUAAAGAUUGCGUAAGUAAACAUAUCCCCACCCAACAUUAAAAGUAAAGUUUUCACUAUAAUAAUAUUUUAUACAAAUAUAAAAAUAUAAAAAUACAAUAUAAAACUUAAAGUCUUCUUUGGAGAUCUUUCGGACUAGUAUUUUCAAUAACCUGUAUAAACACUUGUAAUAAAAAUGUUAGCAACAAGUAAAAAAUAAUCAAAAUAAAUUGAACAAGUAUGUGUUUAUAUAUGUAUGUAUAAUUUUUAUUAAAAAAAUGGGCUCAGAUAAAGCCUUUUUUUUUUUUUGGUUAUUUUUGAAAAUAUAAAGAUUUCAUCAUUGCUCAAAAUAUUUAUUUUAUUACAGAUUUAUAUAUGUAAUAUCCGUCUUUUAUUUGUAAAGAAGCCUCGGAAAUCGACGAUAAAAUUCCUUCAUUGAUCAUUAUUUAAUAAAACCGCUUUAUACUAACUGAUAAUUCCAACAAAUGAAUAAGAAUGACAAUUACAUUUAAAAGAAGUUCUAAAACAGCAACAAAUAAUAGUCAGUGAAACAACGAUAAAAGUAACCUAACCUCAAACCAUGAAUUCUUCUCAAAUAAAGUUAUAAAAACAAAUUUAUCAAAAAGCAACAAAUGGAUAAUGAUAAUUUGGUCAAAUUAUGACCUUAACCAGCAGCAAAACAAUGAAAUAUUAACAAACACCAAGCAAAUUGAGCAAAAGCAAAGCCAAAUGAAGCAAACCAGUAUGAACAAAGAUCGAUCAAAAGAACCUCAACGGAGUUCAAAUUUCUGUCCUGGAAAUUAAAGCAAUAUAACUCAUAAAAAAUAAAAAAUAAAAUAAAAAUUAUAAAUACAAAGAAUCAACCGUGGAUAGAUCUGGUUUGGGAGAAAGAACGGAGAGAGAAAGUAAGAGUUAAAAGAGAAGGGAGAGAAAGAUGAUCAAUCGUGUGUAUGUGUGUAUUGUAUUUAAAAAGAAGGGAAGUGAUGAAAGUGUGUGGGUCCCCCUCUUUCUUUUUUUCUUUGUGUGUAUAUUGACUAAAACACAAAAAAGAGGAGAAUAAAUUAUCAAAUGUACACAUAUCCCUUAUAUUUAGGAAAAUAAUUGGGGAA